CCAGCUGCAGAGGUUGGUUUCAGGUAGAGCUCUCACAGGUCUUGGGGCACCGAUGCUUCCCACUGCACUUCCAGCAGACUUCUGCAGAGGGAAAGGAUUUGUUAUCGUGGCUUAAAUCCCAUCCUGAGGAGCUGAAUGUGCAAUCCUUUAAGCACAGGGAUGUCUCUGGAGUGCUGCCUAUUCCCACAGCUCGCUGUGCAGCAGAAGGAAUGUCUAGAGGGACAAGAGAAAUGAUUUGGGGAAUAAGUGAUGAAACCAAGGGGCUCUGCCCCAUCCCUCUCCACUCGGCAUUUUGGGCACCAAUUCUGUGGAAGUGGAGCCUCUGCAGGUGCACCCGGUGCCCUCUGGGUGUGCAAAUGGAUGCACAUCCCGCAGGUCAGAGGAGAAAAAUGCUCUUUGGCUCAGGUGAGUGAAGCUCUAUCUAGAAAAGCUGAUAGCUCUGAA
Cyanistes caeruleus (blue tit) is the source of this 444-nucleotide long non-coding RNA. RefSeq lists it as uncharacterized. The record is from RefSeq and is a predicted model, not a curated record. NCBI's taxonomy places the organism in Eukaryota, Metazoa, Chordata, Aves, Passeriformes, Paridae.